GCCAGCUGCGUGAUGUAGUGCAAAAUGCAGGACACACAAACACUGAACAUCGACAUCUUGAACGCACAUUGCGGCCCGGGCUUCUCGGAGCCUGGGCCACGUCUGUUCGAGUGUCAGCUAAGUAUCCCCCCRAUCUGCUGGAUCGAAAGAUCGAAAGCACCGGGGUGGCAUUG
This 173-nucleotide ribosomal RNA is filed under the name Chama macerophylla. Its description in RNAcentral is "5.8S ribosomal RNA". The stretch from base 1 to 116 matches the Rfam family "5.8S ribosomal RNA", at positions 48 to 154 of the family's 154-position model. From Rfam's summary of the family: 5.8S ribosomal RNA (5.8S rRNA) is a component of the large subunit of the eukaryotic ribosome. Lineage: Eukaryota; Metazoa; Mollusca; Bivalvia; Venerida; Chamidae. The record is from RNAcentral.